UUUGCAAUGUAAAUAAAAAAUCCAAUAAAAAAAUAACAACUUGAACAGAUUUGGGAUGGAUUUAAAAGAAUGGGAAUUAAUUGGAAUUGAGGAAGUUUUUAAAAUAUAUUUUUUAAGCUUUUAAGAUUUUUAUAUGAGUGCUGUAUCUGUACUCACACCUGCAUGCCAGAGAAGGGCAUCAGAUCACAUCACAGAUGGUUAUGAGCCACCACGUGGUUGCUGGGAAUUGAACUCAGGACCUCUGGAAGAGCAGUUAGUGCUCUUAACCACUGAGCCAUCUUCUGCCCCCUUAAAAAACGUAUUUCUUUUGGAUAUGAUGAUGGCAAAACAAUGCAAAAAUAAUUUUAUGUUUCUUUUUUUUGUUUUUUUUUAAGAUUUAUUUAUUUAUUUUAUGUAUGUGAGUACACUGUAGCUGUCUUCAGACACACCAGAAGAAGGCAUCAGAUCCCAUUACAGAUGGUUGUGAGCCACUAUGUGGUUGCUGGGAUUUGAACUCAGGACCUCUGGAAGAGCAGUCAGAGCUCUUAACCACUGAGCCAUCUCUCCAGCCCCUAAUUCUAUGUUUCUUAAAUUUCCUCAGCAGCCAAAAAGAAUUAAACCAAAAAGACAAUCAAUAUGCAUUAGAUUUAUUUUAAAGUCUGAGCUAAAAUUAUUUUUGGGACAACUUGAGAAUCUGUUACAUCAAACUGCCUACAAAAUAUACUAAAAUCCAAAGCCUUCUAAGAAGUUCUUCCUCCAGGACGGUCAUGCUUUGGCAUGGUUUGCAAUUGUUUCCUUUACAGUAUCAGCUGAAUUGAUACAUUCGUACUUGCAUGAAACAAUCCAAUUCUUUUGUACUUCAGAAUUUUCUGUGAUUAUUUCUUAGAUACCUCUAAAUAGUCUAUUAACUAGGUGUUUUGUUUUUUAAAUCUUCUUAUCUUAGUUAGGGUUUUACUGCUGUGAACAGACACCAACACCAAGGCAACUCUUUUUUUUUUUUUUUUAAGAUUUAUUCAUUUAUUAUAUAUAAGUACACUGUAGCUGUCUUCAGAUACACCAGAAGAGGGCAUCGGAUCUCUUUACAGAUGGUUGUGAACCACCAUGUGGUUGCUGGGAAUUGAACUCAUGACCUCCGGAAGAGCAGUCGGGUGCUCUUAACCACUGAGCCAUCUCUCCAGCCCCCCAAGGCAACUCUUAUAAGUACAGCAUUUAAUUAGGGCUGGCUUACAGGUUUAGAUGUUCAAUCCAUUGUCAUCAAGGCAGGAUGUGGCAUUGUCCAGGCUGAUGUGGAGCUGGAGGAAGUAAGAGUUCCACCUUUUAUACUGAAGGUUUCUAGAAGACGACCGACUUUCAGGCAGCCAGGAUGAGGUUCUUAACCCCACAGCCCCAGUGACACACUUCCUCCAGCCAGGCCACAUCUAUUCCAAUGAGGCCACACCUCCUACUAGUACCAUUCCCUGGGCCAAGCAUAUUCAUUCAAACCACCACAUGUCUUAAACUCAUAAUUAAAAUUGGUCUAAAUUUUAUAGAUACCAAAUCUGAAAAGCCUUACGUUUAAAUCAUUAAGAGUUAAUGACCAUUGUUAGUUAAAGCGAUGUUAUCUGUUUUUCAUUUUAUGCUCUGCCUUGGUCUGAUAAAAGGUCAGACUCUGGCAAGGGAGAAAGUUAAAGGUUGCUCCGGAGAGCUUGUCCUUUAUUAAAGGCACUGCUUUAUACAGCUUAGAGACAAGUCUUAUACAGCAUUCAAAGCUUCUAGUGCAUAACUAGUAGUGAAUGGACAUUGGUGUGACAUUGGGGUCUCAGACACUCUGUUAUUAGGAACAUAGAGAUCUAAGCUGAAAGUGCAUUACAGGCACACACAAUACCUCCCUAACUAGUCAGACACACAAAGUAACCAGGCAUAGCAUGGGGCCCGGGAGACUCCAGUGUAACACCAUUGUAUCAUAACUGAAACUUAAGUUUGUCACAUAGUUCUUUAUAUAUUUCCUUUCUAGGACCCAUGACAACUAAAAUACGAUAAUAGUCCAUCCUCCUUAUGCAUGCAAAUAAAUGAUUUGAGAAAUUUUAGUAUUAAUCAAGUUACUAAAAUCUGUUACUACACACAGGAUUAAGUUACUGUGGAAUGACACAACCACAUACUUAAUUGGCAAAUUAAAAAAAAUAAAUGAAAGAAUGAAUGACUAAAUAAAUGGGGAUAUUUACGUUACCUAUAUCCUCACAUUCUAUUUAGCUAUGCUAACUUCAAUUUUUUUUUCAUUUUAAAGGAUAAUGCUUUUUCUGCUGCCCACAAACAUUUGCCCUAAGAGAGACACAUUUUAAAGUAAACGCUAAGUGAAAAGAAAGAGCCCAAGGGCUGUUCUAACAUCUGGGUGAGUUUACCUGUGGGAGUUUAGUCUUGCUGUCUGUCUAUUGUAGUGCUAAGUGUAGGCACCACACCGGAGUCUGCACACAAACUCAAUUAAUCCUGCCCCUAAGUUAUUUUUGAUUGGUAAAGAAAGAUCCCAACAGCUAACAGCUGGGCAGAGGAGGCCUAGGUGGGUGUUGAGAGCUUUGGGUGCUGCUUCUAGGAAUUUGACAUUUGUCACUGGUCUUGGACAAGGAAGUAGGGUCAGAUAAGAAUAUUAGAAACAGUGACCAGGGGGCUUUGUUUACUGCUGUGCUGAACGCCUACCUUGUGUGAUUGCUUUGUUUCCGACUUUACUUAAUUACUAUCUUGUGCGAUCUUGUUUACCACUUCGCUCGAUUACUUUGUUUUCAAUCUAAGAACUGACCAUGGUUUUUUGUUUGUUUGUUUUUUGUUUUUGUUUUUUUUUGGAUAUAUUUAGAAUGAUAUAAAAGCAGACUGGGAAAGAAUAAAGACUUCAUUCAGCCUCAGCACAGGCUGUAGUCCUGUCAUAAUUCUGUCUAAUUGGUUUUCUUCCUUUUUAAUCCUUACUUCCUCCCUUGAGACCCAGGUGACUGACUCAGCUGGCUUGGUCAGGUGGGGGUUUAGGGUUCCCGAGCUUGCGGCUGGAGGAGAACUAUGAGGAAGAAUGUAGAGGAAGAAGGAGAAACUGCCAUGGGUUAGAAAAUUAAGUGCCAGAUGGCUCCUGGUCUGAUGCAUUCUACCAGGACAUCCAGAGACCAUUGGACAAAUGAAAGAAGCUGAAGUUAUCACAGAGAAAAGAGCCUCAGUUGAGGAAAUGCCUUCAUGAGACCCAGCUGUAAGUCAUUUUCUCAAAUAGUGAUCAAGGCGGGAGGACACAGCCCAUUGUGGGUGGUACCGUCCCUGGGUUGGUGGUCCUGCGUUCUAUAAGAGAGCAAGCUGAGCAAGCCAGGGGAAGCAAGCCAGUAAGAAACAUCCCUCCGUGGCCUCUGCAUCAGUUCCUGCUUCCUGCCCUGCGUGAGUUCCAGUCCUGACUUCCUUUGGUGAUGAACAGAAAUGUGAAAGUGUAAGCUGAAUAAACCCUUUCCUCCCCAACCUGCUUCUUGGUCCUGAUGUUUGUGCAGGAAUAGAAACCCUGACUAAGACACCCACCCUUAGGGUGGAUGUCACAAGUACAUUACAGCCUGCUGACUUCUAUGCUAUCAGUCAGAGAACACAGACAUGUACUCCCUUCUAGGCCUUUUAGCUAUAGAACCCACCCUGACGGUCACAUGUACUUCAUAAAGGCGUUUCUAUGUAGUCACAUCUUAAGCUUUACUGUGCACCUGUGAUUGGACUGACUGUCUCCUGGAAACCUUUCCCCAAAUUGUACUGUGUUUUGAAUAUGCUGACAAUGAACUCCCUAGCGUUAGACUUCCUAAAGUCUGACCCAGCUUGACAAAGUCGAUCUGCCCUGGGUUUCCAUUCUUACCUUUUUGUCAAGUUUGCUUCCCUGUCUGGUGCCUGUAGGAACCCCUUAGGUUUUUUGAUAAAUGUAGAAAAUGGUUAUAUCUAAGUCAUUUGUAGAGUGUCUUUUUUUUUUUUUUGGUUCACCUUUAAAAAGUUUUUUAUUACUGUAUAUUAAUCAUUCAUGAUGAGGGCCUCCACUUCCCGUCCCUUGCCCAUAAGCUUUUUCGCAUGUUUGUGCCGCGUUUGCUUAUGUGUUUACAGAAGGGCACUCCCCAUCCUUCAUGAGGAUUGCAUUAAGAACAAACAGUACGGUUUUCUACAGCGUCUUAUGAGAGUAGCAUGCUGCACAGUAACCUACAUAACAAGGAUCAGCCAUUCCCUGCCUAGCAUCUGUCUAAACAGUGAGGUCCCCAGAGGGGCUUCAUGAAUUGAGGUAGUUCACAUACAAAGAGAAUAAAGUGUGAGGUCAGAUUAGAGGGACAGUAAGAGUGUUUGCUUGGGUGGCACUGAAGUGAUCAGGGUAGGACACACCCCAUCCAAGGACGACUUGCAAACUUGCAAGGUGCUCACACUUUGGAAAACAAGACAAGCAAGAAUCCAAGAGUCAACAACGGGAGGAAGGAGAGCACAAGAAAGAAGGGCCAGCUGGGGCUGGAGAGAUGGCUCAGAGCAUAAGAGCACUGGCUGCUCUUCCCAGUCCUGCUUUCCAUUCCCAGUGCGUGCGUGAAGACUUGCAACCAUUUGUAACUUCCAAAGGCUCUGACUCCCUGGCCCCCAUGGGGCGCUGCACAUACAUGGCACACAAAGCACUCUCUCUAUAAAAUCUAAAAAAUUAAGUGGUUACUAUUUUCACUUAGUAAGGUUAACCUAUUUCAGAAGCAGGGUGACUUAUGAUAAUAUUAUUGGUAAAGUAUUGUCUGACAGGAAGCGUAGAGCCACAGACAUGGUAGGUUCUGAAUCCUCCAUUUUAGUUGAUAGAGAUAAAGAGCAGGGACAGAGAGAUGAGAAUAAAGGAAGUCCUUGUCUCUGCCCAGGGCCAGAGGCGACAUUAAGUGUCUUGAGUUGCCAAGGGCUCCUGAGGGAAUUGGGUCUGUGAUGGUGCUGCAGGUGGAGUGUCUAUUUCAGAGCAAAAUGACCGAAGGGUUUGUAACCGACUCAGAGACCUUGGCACACCUAACUGCAUGUGGAAGCACCAUUCAGGCCAUAUAAUGUAGCACAUAGGCAGCGCCACCUGCCAAAAUAAAGACUAAGACCUACUCCAUCAAAGUCCACAGUUCUGGGAAGACUCUAAAUAUACUAACCUGGUUUUUUGGGGGUUUUGUUUUUUGUUUUGUUUUUUUUUUUCUUUAUGCUUCUGUAGUUCCGCUUCUGACUAUCUGGCUAACUGUGCUUGUUAACUGAAGCAUGUCAACCCAGACUGUGUUUUUGUGCUUAAAAGCUCACCCUGAGAAAGUCUUGGGACUGCACUAAGAUCCUGAAUACCCAAUAUAGUUACCACUGGCCAAUAAAGACCUACUGUUUGCUUAAACCUAUGUCUGAGCAGUUUUCUCUGGUGGAUACCUCACAACAGGAUUUAAAAGAGACUAAUGGGUUGACUCACAGUCUACAAGUGACUGACCACAGCCAAGGUCUACUCUAGCAAGGAAUAACCCAGAUAAGACCUGAGAUACGACUCUAACAGGUCAACCAUGGGUCUGACAUCAUUGAAGAAUGGUAGCCCAGGGGCUAGAGAGAUGACUCAGCAGGUCAAAGCACCUGCUGUAAAGAUUUGGUGACUUGAACAGGACCUUAAAGACUAUUUUGGGUACUUUUGGAGAAGUUCUUAUGGUAUAGGUCAAGAAAGAUCUUCAAACCAAUCCAUCAAAGGGCUUUGACAUUGUUCCUCUUAUGGGCCGUGAAUCACGGUAGAAGUCAUGUUACAGUGAUGUGUGACUGCUGCACAUGGUAUGAUUUUAAACUUCUGAAUUCUAAGCCCACGUGAACCUUUGUGAGGUGCACAUGUAUUUGUUGGGUGUUGUACAGGAGACCACUGCACAGAGAAGCAGUGGGUGUCUUCCUUCCUCUCCAGCCCAGGGCUUUUGUUACCCUUGCAGGUGAUAAGGCCAUGCAGAUAAUCAGUGAGCAUAUAUGCCCCUGAGCUGAAACACAGCAACAAUCAGAAGAAAGGAGGUCUGAUGGUAACCCAGGCGGCUUUGGGAAUCAAGGUGGCUUUGGUAGACGUAGACAGGGGUGGGGUGGGAAGGUUGGAGUUGGUUUGGGAAAUAACAGGGGUAGUGAUAUGGGUGGGGAGAUGAAGUUUGGCCUCAUCGUGAAUACAGCAGUGAUGCGUGAUGUUGGGGGUGUGUGAUGGGCACGUUGGACAGACAGGAAGCAGUCAGGCCCAUCCGGUAAUAACCAUAGUCAGGGCAGCAUGCAGAGGGAGUCAAAUCAGCCUGUGGUUCUGGAACUCGCUCCUAUUGUGGUUCUAGUGCUUGUCUUGGCUGGGGGCUGGUGUCAAAUGCAGUGUCAGGCGGUGCCUUUGACUCUGAGGAGGGUUUGGUUCAAGUGUAGACUCUAAAUCCUCUGGCUGGGGAAUGGAGACAGUGGGUUAUGGUUGGUUGAUAUGAAUGGUGGGAAUUCAAAAUUUUCUAAAUUCACAGAAAGUUCCUUGUAAAUACAUACGUAGUAAUUUUUUUUAUUGGUUUGCUUAGUGUGGAGUAUAUGUAGCAGGUUUGUGACAUUUUCUUUGGAAAGAAGAAGAGAUGGAAAAUCUUGCAUUGUGACAUAGGGGUUAACACACAGAGUGGCUGAAAGUGAGCUGCUGGUGUGUGCUAGACGUAAACUAACACUUCAGCCCAUCUUGGGGUUUGUAGAAAUGUUUUGCCCUUGUAUUUAAGGGAUUCCUUAGUAUGUCCAACGUAGAAACUAUUGGUUAGAACUGUACUGUUUUCUUAUUUAAUUUGAAUCCCAGGAGAUCAUGGGGCCUUUGUGUUUUGUUCCUGUGGUUUUGUUUUUAACACUGGUCUUCCCUCAUGCAUAAAGUACUAUCUGAAGCCGUCCUCCAGUCUCUGCAGCUCAUCUUGUUUCAAAUGUCAACUUUGCCGACAGCAGGCUGUAGAUAUUCUUCCCUUGGACCAUGCUCCUGUAUCUGUGUUUUAUCAUCCAACGAUGCAUCACCCUGGCUGCUCCACUGUCACCCGCUACUCUGUAGUUCACAGAGUCUUAUCAACACUGGGACUGCAAGGCUGUGACACAGAACCUGAAUCACUUAACUGAAACCCUGUUGGAUUGAUGGUGGUGUAGAGGCACGCAAGGCUUGUAGGGUGAGAAAAGGAGAGAGUGUGGCUGCAACUUGGUGUCACUGGAUCCUAUAGCUUUGGUGAGACUGUCCGCAGAGAGCAAUGGUGGGAAAUGACUUGAAGUCAAAGGUCAGAUCACAUAUGUGGGGACUUGGAAUUCUGUUCUUGGAAAACCUACCUCACUUGAAUGUGUUAAGUGAAAAGACACAUGUGCUGCUGCAGGCUGUGCCCUGUGCUUGAGUGCCUUGUGUGAGUUGUCAUUGUUGGAAAUUCUUGGUUCUUUUUGAACACUCAGAGAACUCAUCCCACAGAUGUAGGUGAUGGGGGUUAAUAGUGACAUUUAUGUAAAUACAUGGCCUUAUAAAUCCAGAAGCAUUCAGUACUUUAAUCAACUCUUUUGGCUCUUGGACAAGUUGGACCUUUCAGUGGUGAAGAUGUGGUUAUUCCUGUGUGGCAUUUCAGCCUGGCUGUACAGUACCAGGCUCGCAGCCACCAACCUGACUGUUCAGUCACUUUCCAUAUCCCACUAUAGGACUGGUGCAAGCAAUAGGUGCUUUUCAGUAGCUCCGUCCAGCAAAACCCUCACCCAGACAUAGAGCACAGGCCAUGGAGCAUCAUAGUGCUUGACCCUGGUACUUACCCAACCUUCUCCUCUCCUCUCUUCCCCGCCAUGACUUAUUUUUCCAAAUUUUUGUCCACAUUCCAGAUAAAGUUUCCAUACUGCGGAGUGACGGCAUGUGGUAGGAUUGUCCUUUUUUGUCUGGAUAACCUCUGAUUCAGGUCUCCGUUUCAACAUACCCUUCACAUUGUAACACUGUGUCCAGGUCUCAGUUUCAACAUACCCUUCACAUUGUAACACUGUGUUCAGGUCUCCCUUUCAACAUACCCUUCACAUUCUAACACUGUGUCCAGGUCUCAGUUUCACCAUACCCUUCACAUUGUAACACUGUGUUCAGGUCUCCCUUUCAACAUACCCUUCACAUUGUAACACUGUGUCCAGGUCUCAGUUUCAACAUACCCUUCACAUUGUAACACUGUGUUCAGGUCUCCCUUUCAACAUACCCUUCACAUUGUAACACUGUGUUCAGGUCUCAGUUUCAACAUACCCUUCACAUUGUAACACUGUGUUCAGGUCUCAGUUUCAACAUACCCUUCACAUUGUAACACUGUGUCCAGGUCUCCCUUUCAACAUACCCUUCACAUUGUAACACUGUGUCCAGGUCUCCCUUUCAACAUACCCUUCACAUUGUAACACUGUGUCCAGGUCUCCGUUUCAACAUACCCUUCACAUUGUAACACUGUGUUCAGGUCUCAGUUUCAACAUACCCGUCACAUUGUAACACUGUGUUCAGGUCUCCGUUUCAACAUACCCUUCACAUUGUAACACUCUGAUUUCCAUCUGUGCUGUUCUGUCUCACAGCAGUCGCCCUACCAGGCUCCAUUAGCAGGAUGUCAGAAAGUAACGCCAUUUCAUUUAACACAUCCCACCCAGAGGCUGACAGAUCGCAUAUGCAUAGUAAACAUAUGGCAUCUUAUUUUUUUUAAUUUUUUACAUUUAUUUUCUUUUUCGAGACAAAUUUUUCUGAGAAGCCCUGGCUGACUGUAGACAAGGCUGGUCUCAAACUUUGAGCCCUGUCUUCCUCUGCCUCCUGAGUUCUGGGAUUAAAGGCAUGGCUGACACCACCACCUGGCAUGGAGGAAAUGGCUCAGUCUUUAAAAGUUAGGCUCACAAUCCCAAAUACUGGAUAACUUUCUCAGAGCUUUGUUUCUUUUUUCUAGGUUAAAUUUGGUUUUGGUUUGUUGGAAAUAAGGUCAUUGUAUAUCCUGGGCCUGCCCUGAAAAUUGCUAUGCAGACUAGGCUAGCUGUAAACAUACAGAGACAUGCUUGCUUCUGCUCCCAAGUGUGGAGAUUGAUGGACACUGCCACCAUGACUGGCUCAGACUAAAUCACUCACACACACACACACACACACACACACACACACACACACACACACACACACACACACUAUUCUUUUCCGUGCUAAGGACUGAACCCAACAUCUUGAACUUGCUUAGCAAGAGCUCUAUCACUGAGCUAUACCCUUAGCCCCAUUUAUAGAUUUUAACCUCUUCUACUCAUCCUGCUUAGCUAAUAGGAAGGGGCUCAGACCUCCAAGUACAGUCUAUCACACCUGGGGUUCAGACCAGGCAGGCUGAGUAGAGUAGGCUAUACUUUCUACAACAGUUAUACAUAGAAGGUACAGAACAGUUGUAUGCCAAGAAGCACCGUAGGCCACUUAGAGGUGUGAAACUGGAGAGAAGCAACUUUUCUGACUUUAGUGUGCAAGCAAGUCUGACUUUUUCAUAUGUUAUGUUACUCACAGAAACAACAAACAACACUUCCCAGUCUCUACUAUCAUCAGCAGUGGAUUGACAGCUGGAGUUGGAGUUGCAGGACUUACUGACCAUUCCCACACCCUCAGCUUUUUUUCUGCUAUUCACUUUCACAGCACGACUCUCGGAUAACUGGUAGAGAAGCAGUAUCUCGCACCCUUCAUAUGCCACCUACCAUCUCCCAUGUGCCAGUCCUCCUGUUCAAUGUACUCUGUUGGCUCUCUAGUGAGAUCAGAAACUGAGCUCACUCUUGUCAGGUAACACAUUUUAUCUUUUAAAUAAUAUUUAUGUGUAUGUUAGUCUGCAUGAGUUAUGUGCACCAUGUGCAUGCAGGAGCCCACAGAGGCCAAAAGAGGGCAUAAGAUCCCCUGGAACUGGAGUUACAGGCAACUGCAAGCCACCAUGUGGGUCCUGGGAACAGAGCUCUGGUCCUUUGCAAGAUUAUUCAGGAUUCUUAAUUGUUGAGCCAUCUCUUCCUAUCUCGGGUUCUCUGUCAAAUAAGGGUGAUAAUAGGAGAACUGGAGGUCAGUUCUGUUUUCGUAUGUAAAAUAAGUCCCGGUCUGAAACCCAACAAAUAACACUUCAUGGGGCUGUGAACAUUCAAUAGUAUAGUUUUAUAAGUGCUAUAACUUCUCACAGCACUUUUCACUGUGUAUUCCUGGUGAUUCUAGAACCUAUCUUGCCUACAAAUCAUCUGACCUCACUAAAUGCUGAUUUUGGUCUAGCCAGUUGACAGCUAUGUCUGAAAUUCUGCAUUUUUAUCAAGUUCAUUUCUGACACUCUAGCCUACUGCCUGAGUAAGGACAUUCCAAGAUAUAGUGGCUUUCACCAUUCUUAGGUAAAGCUCCACGGUGGCCCUGACAGAUUUACUUUGGCAUUUUAUUUUUUUGUCUCCCAAAGCAUUUUAAAAUCUGUUUAGUUUCUGAGACAGGGUGUCAUAGCCUAGACUGGUCUUGAACUUACUAUAUAGCUGAAGAUGACUGUGAACUUCUAAUCCCCUCUCCACCUCCCACAGUGCUGAAAUACAGAUAUAUGCCACCAUGUUUAUUGCAUAUAUCUUUAAAAAUUUGCCGAGUGUAUUGGUCAUGCUUGUAAUUCUAGUCCUUGGCAGGUUAUGUAGGAUUGUGAGCUCCAGGCCAGCCUAGGCUACAUGGUUAGACCAUGUCUAAGGAAAAAAGGGAGGAGGAUAUAGCUCAAUGGUAGAGUGUUCUUAACAUGAACAAAGUCCUGGGAACAACUUCCAGCCCUCAUCAACAUACAUACAAAGCUUACAUUUAUUACUUGGUGAGUGAUUAUGUCACUCAGUGACUGUCUUUGAGGCAUAGUUAAGGAGUAGACAAUCCAGGACCUGAGGGAAGGUAGGUUGGGGAUGAAUCACUUCUAGGAAACUAAUAAAAAUCUUUUCCUCCUCAUAGCUCUCCACCUUUCCCUACAUGUUCUAGUGAGAAUUGGGGAAACACUGAAGAAAGCCCUAGGUAAGAAGACAAGCAUAGAUGUAUCAGGUCGUUAUUGGUCUUAGUUGAAAAUAAGUUCUGAAAUAGUCAAUAUUUUCAUCUCUGGGUAAAGGCUGGGACAAAUUUCAAAUAAGAUAUUAAGUUGGAAUUACAAAAAGCUUCAAAACAACUCAGUGUUCUGAGUUAUUAUGUAAUCACUCAUUUUGGCUUACAAAGAAAAUACUCUUUAUCUUUCAAGAUUCCAAUGAUAUCAUUCAUAGAUCUAGGGAAAAAUCCUACUAGGAGACAUAUGCUCAUGUUUUUUCUAUAUAAUGUUCUAAAUAAAGAUCCCAAUAUUGUCACAGCAAUCCUGAGCAGGAGCCAUGUUGAGAUGUCACAAAUCCUUGUUUCAAACAACACUACAGUUGUGGUAACUAACGGUGUGGCACUGGAAUGAAGACUAUAAAGACCAACAGAAUGGUGUUGUGGUAAUUUCUUACCACAAUAGGUCAGUAUAAAAAACAUACAACCCGGGUUGGGGAUUUAGCUCAGUGGUAGAGCGCUUGCCUAGCAAGCGCAAGGCCCUGGGUUUGGUCCCCAGCUCUGAAAAAAAGAAAAAAGAAAAAGAAAAAAAAACCACACACACACAACCCAGUUAUUAUAUUUGUAAGAUAUAUGUCUAUAUUGGGCAGAUCUAUGGCUGUCCUAAUCUAUCCCCAGCUAUGAGACCCCAUUUCACUUGCGGCUCCUCCAGGCUAUAUGGUUCUGUUCCACCUUCCAUCUCUUCUAUCUCUAUCCUUCUUCCUCCCCCUUUCCCUAUUCUUCCUCCACUCUCUAAAACUUCUAGCCCCACCUUUCCCUUCCACUGCUCAUUCACAGGCUCCAGUCAUUAUUUGACCAGUUAGAAUGGGGAGAAGGUUCACAUGAAAUCACCUGAGUAUGUGAUCCACUCCUCAUCCAGGCAGCCCCUCUUGAGGAAGCAGAAUUAACAUCAGAAUACAAACAGCACCAUGGCAACCCACAUUUCCCCCCUUUUGCACAAUUACAAGGCUCUCUUCUUUCAGAUAUAAAUUGAGCACAACCACUACAGUUAUGUAAAUUAUAAAGUAUAAGAUACAUUUAACACCCAGUCCAUCAUAGUUGUCAAUUUAGAUAAAGCACUCUACCAUCUAUCCUAACUUAAAACACUUACAAUUCUAUACCUGAGUUAUGUUCUGGUUUUAGCUUGUAUUAUCAUCUGAAAACCAUCCUCUCAAAUGUAUAUCAUCUCCCUCAAUGUUAACUUGAGUUGACUAUGAGACUAUAACUAGUCUUUAACCCCAUCAGAAAUCUGAGAAUGACUUAACUAUUACCUGAAAAUAUAGGAAGCACAAAACAUAGCUUCUAAAAUUUAACCAAUUUGUAGAGAUGGCUGACAACCUGGACACUUCCUCAAAAUGUUGGGAGUAUUAGUCUUUAGCCUACUGGCCUGGGAUCAUCUGGUAGACCUCUGUAAAGCAGAAUCUUGAAGGACUGCUUCCCUGUCUUGGUAGAGUUAUCAGUUGACUGUUCCACAUAGUGUAUCCUUUUCCUGGACAGUGUUUCGUCGGUAGAUGAACUGAGGCAAUUCUUGACUAGUGGCUGUCUUGCCACAUCUGGAGUAACUCCACUGAUCCUCAAUUUCUACUUUGAACC
This is a non-coding RNA of Rattus norvegicus (Norway rat), 12553 nucleotides long. The record is from RefSeq and is a predicted model, not a curated record. NCBI's taxonomy places the organism in Eukaryota, Metazoa, Chordata, Mammalia, Rodentia, Muridae.